CCCCAAAACUCGAAUUAUUAAAUUCGUUAGUAGGUUACCUUGGGUAAUUAGAUGAAGUACAACAACUAAGUUAUUAAACUUAGUUAAAUGUCUAAUAAAUAAGUAAAGGAAUGAAGUUUGUGGCAACUAUGAUGAUGUGUUAGAGUUGAGGGACCUAGAUUGCCAUAAUGUAAACUAAAACUUAAUAAAAAAAAGAGAGAAAAAUAAAACCACAACACACACUGUGCGUGUGUGUGGUCGAUCGCACAAGGCAGAGGGAAAGGGGUAAACCCUAAUUCUCAAGAAAUCUCCAAAUUGAAAAGGGAAUUGAAGGUUUUUAGGAUGCAUGUAGCAAGAUUAUCGAUCUCCUAAGUGUUCUUCACUAUCAAGGACGUGUCAAGGAGAGGUCAAGCAUAGGAGGAUAACGGGUCAAGAUAAGGCAAGGUGACAAAUACACUUAAUGGAGUACUCGAGGUAAGUGAAUUUCGAUUCACUUUUUAGUAGGUUUAAUAGAUUUUAAUACUUAUGUUUACGAAACAUCAUGAAAGAACAUGUAAUAAUCAGAAGUACAAAGCCAAUAAUGCCUCAUUAUUGAGGAAGGUUGUAUUAAGCCGAAAGUAAAUUGGUGGGUUUAAACGGGUCGAAUUUUAUGUGCAUAUGUUGCGUAAUGUAAUGAAAUUUGUUAUGGUUAAGACCUUGGGUAGGAAUUUUUAGUCAUUAUGUAAGGGGAACACUUCCCGGACCAUUAGGAACAAGUUUUAUAUGAUUCGGUUGUCGGUUAGUUAAUGAACGGAUUGUUUCAUGUUAGUGUAGGAAAUUUUAUAAGUAUAUGUGUAUAGGAACCCAAAGGGCACGUGGGUUGAAUCAUAGAUUGUUUAUACUAUGUAAAGUUGUGAAUGUGACAUUCCGGCAUAAACCUACAUGUAAAAGAAGCUUGUGUAUAUAUUCGUGAUUAAUUGAUUGUGCGUAGGAAGGAACAUUGGCAUGUAUGAAGGUACGCAUGUAUAUGUAAGUGUGUAUAUAUAUAUAUAUAUAUAUGUAUGUAUGUAUGAUAAUAAGUACGUAGGUGUGAAUGUAUGUGUGAAUGAAUGUUCAAUGCUUAAGACAUAUGCAUGAACGUUAUCAAAGUGUUUGAGUAUUUAUGGUUACUAAUGAUGUGCGUUGAGUUGGAAUGUAAUGUAGGUAUGGGAUCGUUGGCUUCAUGAAGAAAUGGAGCUGGAUUUGGAUAAGAGUAUUUAAGAAAGCGCUUGGACAAUUCCACGACUACUUUAUAGAAUGCUCUACGAAAUUCUAUUAUAUAGUUUAAUGUUGUAUGGUAUGUUAAUGACUAAUGGUUUGGUUGUACGUGGUGUCCACAGGUAUCGCUUGGGUUUUCUCUACAUUUAUCGAAGUGAAGCGGACUUAGUUCGAGUUGAGAGCAAGGAUUGUACGGGGUAGAAUGGUCACAUAGUGUAACUCAUAUAGAUUUUGAAGUAUUUGAACCUUCAUGUGUUUGAUAUGUCUAUUAAAGAACGAAAUUUUUGGGCUCUUGGUUUCCGCUGCGUCGUAUUUUAAGUUAUUAUACGUUAGUCUUACAGGGAAUUGUUCUUAUUACGAACGGGUCAUGCCCGAAUUUUGUUAAAUAAUAGUAUGAUAAUAUUACAUUUUGGAAUGUGUAAUUUGGGCGUUACAAGUUGGUAUCAGAGCCCUGGUUUGAGGGAAAUCAAGUAUGAGGAGGCAAAUACUUGAACUCAAACCUGUGUGCUCUUGUGACGAGAAACCCGUACAAUCCAAGACUCGAUCAAGAUCUAAAGGUAGAAGCAAAUGUAAGUAUGAAUUUAAGUAUGUUUAUGAAGAAACUAACAUUAUGUUGUGUGUAAGAUAAGCAUAGUUGUUUGGAUGAGGAUGAUCCACGACUGUGGUCUCGGACUGACACCAAUGCAUGUAAUAAGACCAUUGCCCAGGUCAGUGAAAGAAUGGUCAUAAGCGAAAGCUCGUCACACGGAUAAACGAGGUCGAUACGAAACAUGGUAUGGAUGGGGACGAAGAGGACCGACUCGUUGCUGCAUGUUCAAGUACUGCACCAAGGUAGUAAGGUUAGCAAAUUAUUUAAUAUAUGAAGGUACGAUGCUCGAAUCCCUCAAACCUACGCUCUCGUGAAAGUGUGUUCGUUUCUAAGCGCCACGCAAGUAAGUGAUUUAAGGAUUUCGAGCUAUGCUUUUAGAUGAAAACGGAAAUGGGUUAUGGAUAAAUUACUAUUAUAACCCGGGUUGGGACGUUAUGGGAUGUUAGGGAAGGUUUCGGGACUGCCCGAGACCAUUUCUGGUUGGAAAAAAAAAGAGACCCGGGAACAAAAAAAAAAAUUUUGGUCAAACAGCGUCUGCACACCAGAGAGCCCGUCGGCGACGGCCUUUAUGCCGUCGGCGACGGCACCCCUCCACCUGACGCGCUAACUGUCUGUCUACGGGCAAUGUUUAGCGACGGGACCUUCCCGAGCCCGUCGGCGACGCACCAUGUGCCGUCGGCGACGGGUCCCCCUUAUCUGCUUAUGCUGAAAUUGUUUGUUUAUUAGGCUAAGGUCCUUAAUUCAGUUCUAGCAUUCAUUAAACACUAAGAACACCCCAGAUUGAUUAUGAAGCUAGGAAAUUCAAGACAACUAUCGUGUUUUAAUGAUGAAUGUGUGGGAAGUUAUGUAUGCGAACGAAUGAAAUAAGUAACACAUCUAGAAUGUUUGUAAAGAAAGAUUGGGUAAGUUUAUAAAAAUUUUACGCUAUCAUUGAGAAAGUACCUCCGUAUGAAUAAGUACGAUAUGUUAAAUGUGUACGAAUGAACGAGAUUGAAUGCGGAAAUGAAUAAAAUAAUGAUGACUAGGGAUUGGUUUUCGCAAAGAAGUUUGAAAUCUUGAUAAGUAUGAAUAAUAUGUCAGGAUGCUAGUUUCAAAUUAUGGACUAUGGGAUCUGUGAUUAGGCAAUUUCUCACAACAUGCUUAUGUAAGUCGUCCAAUGUCACUUGAAUGAAUGAACGAACGAAGAAUAAAACUAGAUGGGUUAUAGAAGAAAUGAAAGAGGUUUCGGGGACGAAACCUUCUUUAAGGGGGAUAGAUUUGUAACACCCCAAAACUCGAAUUAUUAAAUUCGUUAGUAGGUUACCUUGGGUAAUUAGAUGAAGUACAACAACUAAGUUAUUAAACUUAGUUAAAUGUCUAAUAAAUAAGUAAAGGAAUGAAGUUUGUGGCAACUAUGAUGAUGUGUUAGAGUUGAGGGACCUAGAUUGCCAUAAUGUAAACUAAAACUUAAUAAAAAAAAAAGAAAGAAAAAUAAAACCACAACACACACUGUGCGUGUGUGUGGUCGAUCGCACAAGGCAGAGGGAAAGGGGUAAACCCUAAUUCUCAAGAAAUCUCCAAAUUGAAAAGGGAAUUGAAGGUUUUUAGGAUGCAUGUAGCAAGAUUAUCGAUCUCCUAAGUGUUCUUCACUAUCAAGUAAGUUAAAUUAUGUGUUUUAAUGAUAGUUGAUGAAGUGGGUUUUAGUCAAUCCGUGAAAUCUUAUGAAAUUGAACAUGUAUAUAUGUUAGAUUCACCAUAUAGAAGGUGUCUUGUGCUUGAAUUUGAAUGUAUUGAAGAUUUGAGGAAAAACCCACUUGUUCAAGUAGCAUGGUAAUCUUGUAGUUGUAUAAGUUAAGUAAUUUUGAUGAAUGAAUGAUUAUGUACUAAUGUAUCGUUAGCUAAUCAUGUUGUAGGAGGUAUGAAUCAUGUGAAAUUGGUCGAAUGAUUGAGUUUUUGUAGUUACUAAUGGGUUAUGCAUAAAACUCAUGUACAUGAUGCUUAAAAUGUUGUACGCCCGCCAAGUGUUUGAUAAAAUGCCUACAAAGUUUGUGUAAAAUAGUUAGUAAAUUCGUCACUUUUGACAGCCUUAGAUAGUCAUCUUGUAAAGGCCGUAUCACAUUCGUUAUUAGGAGUUAGACAACGAGCCUUAUAUCGUUGAAAAGGUUGUUUCGCAUAUUACAUUUCAUAUUUGGUCAUAAGAGGCUGGUUAUGAGAUUAAGUGGGUCAAAACAGCAUGAAAAGUUAGUAAAUUCGUCACUUUUGACAGCCUUAGAUAGUCAUCUUGUAAAGGCCGUAUCUCAUUCGUUAUUAGGAGUUAGACAACGAGCCUUAUAUCGUUGAAAAGGUUGUUUCGCAUAUUACAUUUCAUAUUUGGUCAUAAGAGGCUGGUUAUGAGAUUUAGUGGGUCAAAACAGCAUGAAAAGUUAGUAAAUUCGUUUUGACAGCAAGCUGUUUGGAAGCAUUUCAGCUUCUGUGCUGAUUUUGUAAAAAUCAUAUAAAAUCAUAGGAAUGUCCGAUUGUUACGAUCUUUAUAUGCUUAGAAAGAUCUCUGAGUGUAGAUCAUUUCAUAUUUAAACAUGAAGAACUUAAUCAGAAGAUAAAUGGGUUAAAAAGUGUCGUGAACAGCUGCUGCGCAGAAAGUGGCUGCACAAAUUUUAGUAUAUAUAUUCAGUAAAAUUAGUUGUAUUGUUAUGCACACUUGUAUGAAUCAUGAACUACUGAUUUUAAUAAAUUAUUAGUAAGUUAUUUGAUUGUUUUAAGUGCCUAAAACACUUACCAACUAGUUUAUGCAUAUAAUUGCACCAACGGGUCGAAACGGGUUGUUGAUAGAAAAUAGUAGAAUGGAUGUGUAAAAAACCAAGGUGUUAAGAAAUGGUAUGAAAUGUUUAACAUAUGAAGCAAGUUGCCUAACUUAGAAAAGGUUAUCAUUCUAAGUAUGGAAUUUUGAAAGAAUAACGAACAUGAUGUAAAUACAUAAUUAUGCAUGCUAGAAGCUCAUGUAUGACUGUUGUGAUGAUGGAAUGGUAAAUUGUUAGAUUGAUUAGCAUUGUAGUAUUAUGAUACAUGUUGAACUCGAUAAGCGAUUGACACGUGAAUAGAAGUGUGAUUAGUGGUGCGUAUGAUUAUGUAUACUAACUAUUGAAUGGAUGUAAUGGAAUGAGAUAAUAGGGACGUGUCAAGGAGAGGUCAAGCAUAGGAGGAUAACGGGUCAAGAUAAGGCAAGGUGACAAAUACACUUAAUGGAGUACUCGAGGUAAGUGAAUUUCGAUUCACUUUUUAGUAGGUUUAAUAGAUUUUAAUACUUAUGUUUACGAAACAUCAUGAAAGAACAUGUAAUAAUCAGAAGUACAAAGCCAAUAAUGCCUCAUUAUUGAGGAAGGUUGUAUUAAGCCGAAAGUAAAUUGGUGGGUUUAAACGGGUCGAAUUUUAUGUGCAUAUGUUGCGUAAUGUAAUGAAAUUCGUUAUGGUUAAGACCUUGGGUAGGAAUUUUUAGUCAUUAUGUAAGGGGAACACUUCCCGGACCAUUAGGAACAAGUUUUAUAUGAUUCGGUUGUCGGUUAGUUAAUGAACGGAUUGUUUCAUGUUAGUGUAGGAAAUUUUAUAAGUAUAUGUGUAUAGGAACCCAAAGGGCACGUGGGUUGAAUCAUAGAUUAUUUAUACUAUGUAAAGUUGUGAAUGUGACAUUCCGGCAUAAACCUACAUGUAAAAGAAGCUUGUGUAUAUAUUCGUGAUUAAUUGAUUGUGCGUAGGAAGGAACAUUGGCAUGUAUGAAGGUACGCAUGUAUAUGUAAGUGUGUAUAUAUAUAUAUAUAUAUGUAUGUAUGUAUGAUAAUAAGUACGUAGGUGUGAAUGUAUGUGUGAAUGAAUGUUCAAUGCUUAAGACAUAUGCAUGAACGUUAUCAAAGUGUUCGAGUAUUUAUGGUUACUAAUGAUGUGCGUUGAGUUGGAAUGUAAUGUAGGUAUGGGAUCGUUGGCUUCAUGAAGAAAUGGAGCUGGAUUUGGAUAAGAGUAUUUAAGAAAGCGCUUGGACAAUUCCACGACUACUUUAUAGAAUGCUCUACGAAAUUCUAUUAUAUAGUUUAAUGUUGUAUGGUAUGUUAAUGACUAAUGGUUUGGUUGUACGUGGUGUCCACAGGUAUCGCUUGGGUUUUCUCUACAUUUAUCGAAGUGAAGCGGACUUAGUUCGAGUUGAGAGCAAGGAUUGUACGGGGUAGAAUGGUCACAUAGUGUAACUCAUAUAGAUUUUGAAGUAUUUGAACCUUCAUGUGUUUGAUAUGUCUAUUAAAGAACGAAAUUUUUGGGCUCU
Long non-coding RNA from Helianthus annuus (common sunflower), 6089 nucleotides. RefSeq lists it as uncharacterized. The transcript is spliced from 3 exons. The record is from RefSeq and is a predicted model, not a curated record. NCBI's taxonomy places the organism in Eukaryota, Viridiplantae, Streptophyta, Magnoliopsida, Asterales, Asteraceae.